Molecule: ribosomal RNA, 1173 nt
Filed under: feces metagenome
Description: bacterial SSU rRNA
Rfam family: Bacterial small subunit ribosomal RNA
Source: RNAcentral
ACGGUCCAGACUCCUACGGGAGGCAGCAGUGGGGAAUAUUGCGCAAUGGGGGAAACCCUGACGCAGCAACGCCGCGUGAGUGAUGAAGGUUUUCGGAUCGUAAAACUCUGUCAUUAGGGACGAUAAUGACGGUACCUAAUGAGGAAGCCACGGCUAACUACGUGCCAGCAGCCGCGGUAAUACGUAGGUGGCAAGCGUUGUCCGGAUUUACUGGGCGUAAAGAGUAUGUAGGUGGGCACUUAAGUCAGAUGUGAAAUUCCCGGGCUUAACCUGGGAGCUGCAUUUGAUACUGGGUGUCUAGAGUGCAGGAGAGGAAAGUGGAAUUCCUAGUGUAGCGGUGAAAUGCGUAGAGAUUAGGAAGAACACCAGUGGCGAAGGCGACUUUCUGGACUGUAACUGACACUGAGAUACGAAAGCGUGGGUAGCAAACAGGAUUAGAUACCCUGGUAGUCCACGCCGUAAACGAUGAAUACUAGGUGUCGGGGGGUACCACCCUCGGUGCCGCAGCAAACGCAUUAAGUAUUCCGCCUGGGGAGUACGGUCGCAAGAUUAAAACUCAAAGGAAUUGACGGGGACCCGCACAAGCAGCGGAGCAUGUGGUUUAAUUCGAAGCAACGCGAAGAACCUUACCUAGACUUGACAUCUCCUGAAUUACUCGUAACUGAGGAAGUCCCUUCGGGGACAGGAAGACAGGUGGUGCAUGGUUGUCGUCAGCUCGUGUCGUGAGAUGUUGGGUUAAGUCCCGCAACGAGCGCAACCCUUAUUAUUAGUUGCUACUAUUAAGUUAAGCACUCUAAUGAGACUGCCGCGGUUAACGUGGAGGAAGGUGGGGAUGACGUCAAAUCAUCAUGCCCCUUAUGUCUAGGGCUACACACGUGCUACAAUGGCUGGUACAACGAGCAGCAAUCCCGUGAGGGGGAGCAAAACUUGAAAGCCAGUCCCAGUUCGGAUUGUAGGCUGAAACUCGCCUACAUGAAGUUGGAGUUGCUAGUAAUCGCGAAUCAGCAUGUCGCGGUGAAUACGUUCCCGGGUCUUGUACACACCGCCCGUCACACCAUGAGAGCCGGUAACACCCGAAGCCCGUGAGGUAACCGUAAGGAGCCAGCGGUCGAAGGUGGGAUUGGUGAUUGGGGUGAAGUCGUAACAAGGUAGCCGUAGGAGAACCUGCGGCUG